AUUGAACGCUGGCGGAAUGCUUUACACAUGCAAGUCGAGCGGCAGCACGGGGGCAACCCUGGUUGCGAGCGGCGAACGGGUGAGUAACACAUCGGAACAUGCCCAGUCGUGGGGGAUAACACUUCGAAAGAAGUGCUAAUACCGCAUACGUCCUGAGGGAGAAAGCGGGGGAUCGCAAGACCUCGCGCGAUUGGAGUGGCCGAUGUCAGAUUAGCUAGUUGGUGGGGUAAAGGCCUACCAAGGCAACGAUCUGUAGCUGGUCUGAGAGGAUGAUCAGCCACACUGGGACUGAGACACGGCCCAGACUCCUACGGGAGGCAGCAGUGGGGAAUUUUGGACAAUGGGGGCAACCCUGAUCCAGCCAUUCCGCGUGAGUGAAGAAGGCCUUCGGGUUGUAAAGCUCUUUCGGCAGGAACGAAACGGUGAGCUCUAACAUAGCUUGCUAAUGACGGUACCUGAAGAAGAAGCACCGGCUAACUACGUG
RNAcentral lists this ribosomal RNA (484 nucleotides) under uncultured bacterium. Its description in RNAcentral is "partial 16S ribosomal RNA". It matches the Rfam family "Bacterial small subunit ribosomal RNA", at positions 30 to 507 of the family's 1533-position model. The record is from RNAcentral.